Molecule: ribosomal RNA, 265 nt
Filed under: uncultured Staphylococcus sp.
Lineage: Bacteria; Bacillati; Bacillota; Bacilli; Caryophanales; Staphylococcaceae
Description: partial 16S ribosomal RNA
Rfam family: Bacterial small subunit ribosomal RNA
Source: RNAcentral
CGGCGGACGGGUGAGUAACACGUGGAUAACCUACCUAUAAGACUGGGAUAACUUCGGGAAACCGGAGCUAAUACCGGAUAAUAUAUUGAACCGCAUGGUUCAAUAGUGAAAGACGGUUUUGCUGUCACUUAUAGAUGGAUCCGCGCCGCAUUAGCUAGUUGGUAAGGUAACGGCUUACCAAGGCAACGAUGCGUAGCCGACCUGAGAGGGUGAUGGCCACACUGGAACUGAGACACGGUCCAGACUCCUACGGGAGGCAGCAGCU